CUAUAGUCCCAAUGAAUAGUUUUUAUAGAAUAUUUUUAUAUCCAAUCACAUUCAUUCUCUCUUCAUUCUUACCCAAUCAUAUCACUUCAUGUCUUGGAUUUUGUGUAGACAUAAUUUCUAACUUAGAACCAGUUUCUAUGAUUUUUGCUCUCUCUCUUCAAUAACUCUCUUGCCACAUCAGCAAAAUGCUUAGGUGACACUACAAUUAAUAUCUAUAGAAACCACCUGAAUUGGGAGUGCCCUUAUGAAAGGUUAAAAAGUAGGCCGGCAAAACUCAAAUUAGACCGUAUAUAAUUUGUGACCCCUGUCUUUGCCACUGAAGUCAGCCAUGUUAUUGCCAACAAAAGUUGGCGGUGGCACAUGCAACAAUUUAUUUACAGUUUUAUAGAGGACUUGUUUAGUUCGUAAUUUUUUUUGUUUUUUAAGUACUGUACCAUUUCGUUUUUAUUUGAUAAAUAUUGUCCAAUUACAGAGUAACUAGGCUCAAAGGAUUCAUCUCACAAAUUACAGGUAAACUGUACAGUUAGUUUUUAUUUUCUUCUAUAUUUAAUACUCUAUGUAUGUGAGCAAAGAUUCGAUGUGACGGGUCGGCGGACACACUCGCACCCUGCGGGCGCGGCUGCUGCACGACGUCACGGCUCCGAGACGGGCGCCAUCUCGUGACCCGGAGCGCGCAUGUACUAACCACUCGUGCGUACGCGCCCACACGCACCGUGAAACUACCAGCAGUUUUCACGUGAACCAUCGAUGGCACUGUCGAGCCACGCCGGCCGACCUACCGAACGCAUCGACGGCGCGCUGGCGUCGGGCAGUGGAGAGCGUACGGCCCUCCACCGGCGCCGCGUAUUAUAUAUAUAUAUAUAUACACACACACGAAUCAUAUAUAUUGUACGACAACGACUACUGGCUGCCAAUUCAGCAGUUUACUUUAUUUGCGUCGUCUUCUAACAGUAUCUCACUUGGGUUUCACCGCAUGGCC
RNAcentral lists this long non-coding RNA (979 nucleotides) under Sorghum bicolor (sorghum). RNAcentral's name for it is "long non-coding RNA (SBIC_LNC000183)". Lineage: Eukaryota; Viridiplantae; Streptophyta; Magnoliopsida; Poales; Poaceae. The record is from RNAcentral.